RNAcentral lists this transfer RNA (76 nucleotides) under bacterium. RNAcentral describes it as "tRNA-Thr". It matches the Rfam family "tRNA". From Rfam's summary of the family: Transfer RNA (tRNA) molecules are approximately 80 nucleotides in length. Their secondary structure includes four short double-helical elements and three loops (D, anti-codon, and T loops). RNAcentral also lists the same sequence under 3 other names. The record is from RNAcentral.
GCCAGCUUAGCUUCAACGGUAGAGCUCUCGAUUUGUAAUCGAGUGGUUGUCGGUUCGAAUCCGACAGCUGGCUCCA